This 478-nucleotide ribosomal RNA is filed under the name uncultured bacterium. RNAcentral describes it as "bacterial SSU rRNA". It matches the Rfam family "Bacterial small subunit ribosomal RNA", at positions 365 to 833 of the family's 1533-position model. The record is from RNAcentral.
UUCGCAAUGCCCGAAAGGGUGACGAAGCGACGCCGCGUGCGGGAAGAAGGCCUUCGGGUUGUAAACCGCUGUCGGGAGUUAAGAAAUGCAAGGGUGUUAACAGCGUCCUUGCUUGACUAAGGCUCCGGAGGAAGCCACGGCUAACUCUGUGCCAGCAGCCGCGGUAAUACAGAGGCGGCAAGCGUUGUUCGGAAUUAUUGGGCGUAAAGAGCACGUAGGCGGCUGUGUAAGUCGGUUGUGAAAGCCUUCCGCUCAACGGGAGAACGGCAUCCGAUACUGCAUGGCUUGAGUGCGGGAGGGGGGAGUGGAACUUCUGGUGGAGCGGUGAAAUGCGUAGAUAUCAGAAGGAACACCGGCGGCGAAGGCGACUCUCUGGCCCGUAACUGACGCUGAGUGUGCGAAAGCUAGGGGAGCAAACGGGAUUAGAUACCCCGGUAGUCCUAGCCGUAAACGAUGGGCACUAAGUAGAGGGGUUUUA